This is a long non-coding RNA of Capra hircus (goat), 1485 nucleotides long. The record is from Ensembl. NCBI's taxonomy places the organism in Eukaryota, Metazoa, Chordata, Mammalia, Artiodactyla, Bovidae.
AGUAGACUGAACUGAAUGGGGGAAGCAAUGAUAGUGGAAGAAAUAAUAGCAUAUUCUUGGGGAAAAAAUUGGUGAGGGGGCCAAAAAAACAAACAAGAAAAGGUAAAAAUGAAAUAAGAUUCUGGAUGCUGAGUCUUAACAGGUUGGGGUCCUGCACCCGUUUGUGAGUAUUAUGCUAUCACUUGGCAUAUAAGAUCUGAGAUCUGCUGAGACUCAUCCUAGGUCCUCUCAGGGGGAUUAUGGAUACCAGAGUGAACAUUUCCAGCUUUAUUUUCCAGAGAACUUUUCAUCCUGAAGGUUGGCUUCUGUCUAACAUUGGCAUGUGUUUGACACUUCAUUAAAUUCCCCAUUUCAGUGGGCAGAAGUGAGAGUACACAGCCGGUACUGUGGUAGUUGUGCAAAAUCUUAGGUUAGGCAAAACUGUGCAGGGCAAAAUCAUAAAGUAAAAAAAGGGCCCCAAGAAUUCUUUUCCUGCAGUGGAGUUACUCAAGAUAUAGCCAACCUCUUUCAGGUCUAGCGUUAAUCUUAACUAAACUUAUAAAGAUUUCUCAGGCUCCAUACUAUAUUCAUAGCUUCCAGGGAGAAGUAAAUCACUAUCAAAUUUUGUGUAGAUAUAGGGUCUUUCAAAGGGACUCAUUGGCCAAAUAUAAUUUUUCCAUUGGAUUUAUCUGAAGAGUAAGGCAAUGUGGGUCUUCAUGGCUCCUUAGCUGGUCCACAUCAAACAGACAGUGUGAAGCCAUUGGCGGUCAUUGUACCUCCUACUAGCUAGAUUACACUGGAAUAGUGUCACAUUUUACUAACACUCCGCAGAAAACUUUCCUUGACUGUACUGCCUCGCUUUCAUGGGAUGGUGUCCAGGAUAAGCAGGGAAAAUAUUUCCCUCCCCCCUCCUAUUUUAUCUGAGUUUGCUCAAGGAACUGAAAUCAUCAUGUUCUGAGCCACAUGCCAUGUUCAAGGCCUCCAACGAGCACACAGAAAACUCUGAGGAAUCGUUAUUCAGUGACUUUGCCAUUUGCAAGCCUGUGGAAUUCAGGUGCCCACAGGAAGAAGUGGAGAGGUUUUUCCAGCCUGACCGUAUCAGCCGCGUCACCACAAGAACCUUCUGUUUUGGCUGAAGUCCUUCUAUCAGACUCAGGCUGUUCCUUGUGGCCAAGUUACUGCUCCCCUGAAGAGAAAUUCUCUAAUGACUACAGAUGGGUCCCAAGAACAAAGAGAUACAAUUGCAACCAGGAUGUCUUGUGGAUAAGAGGGUGAGCAUCACCUACUCAGUGGAUGUGAAUCUGAGCAAACUUCAGGAGACAAUGAAGGACAGGGGAGCCUGGCAUGCUGCAGUCUGUCCAUGAAGUCUCGAAGGGUCAGACAUGACUUAAUGACUGAACAAUAAAGGGUGAGUUUUCACUGGACAUAGACCUGGGUAGUGAGGGUUUAUACCAACCAACUUGAUCUUUUUAAAAAAACAAUUUUAUUUGUUUAUUUUUGGCUGUG